Non-coding RNA from Callithrix jacchus (white-tufted-ear marmoset), 3106 nucleotides. The record is from RefSeq and is a predicted model, not a curated record. NCBI's taxonomy places the organism in Eukaryota, Metazoa, Chordata, Mammalia, Primates, Cebidae.
CCAUACCUGGCUAAGUAUUUUCAAUAGAGACAGGGUUUCUCCAUGUUUGUCAGGCUGGUCUCGAACUCCAUAAAGUAAUCCAACUGACUCAGCCUCCCAAAAUGCUGGGAUUACAGGUGUGAGCUACCGUGCCCAGCUAGCUUUCUUUUUUGCUCCCUUUUUUUUUGGGGAGACCAAGUCUCACUCUGUAGCCCAGGCUUGAGUAUGGUGGUACAGUCUCGACUCACUGCAGCCUUGACCUCCUGGGCUCAGGUGAUCCUUCCACCUCAGUAACUGGGACUAUAGGCACAUGCCACCAUGUCUGGCUAAUUAUUUUUGAUUUUUAAUAGAGACAAGGUCUUGCCAUGUUUCCCAGUCUGGUCUGGAAUUCCUGGCCUCAAGCAAUUCUCCCACUGCCCCCUCCCAAAGUGCUGCUAUUAUAAGCAUCAGCCACCAAGGUUGGGCUGUCCAUGUCUUUUCUGUUUAUUUAUAGAGUUAACGUGUCUUUUACUAAUUAGAUGAUCUAUAUAUUUAAUCUUUUAUUAAAUUAUAAAAAUAGUGAAGACUUUCAAAUGAAGAAGUGAAAAACUUCCUUUACGCAUUAGACCCAUAAUCUUAUCUCAUGAAAUAAUUGGCCAUAUUCUUCAAAUACAUAUGGGCUAAUUGAAUAUCACUUCUCAUUUUCAUAUUUCGUGGACAUCUGUGUCAAUUUCUAUUGAUCUAUCUGAAUCCUUUUCAUGGUUUCCUAAUGUUUUAUCAUAUGGAUAUAUCACAAUUGACCAGUCAGCCUCUAUAGCCAUUUAAGCUCCUUCUAAUAUUUGCUUUGAGCUCUUUAUAUCAUUAAAAAUUAACCUCCUCAGCAGGUUGUGGCAGGUGUGGCAGCUCACACCUGUAAUCCCAGCACUUUGGAAGGCUGAGGUGGGAGAACUGCUUGAGGGAGAAGGAUCACCACCAGCCUCGUCGACAUAGCAGCACAUUGUCUCUAAAAAACAUUCAAGAUAGCAUGAGCUGCACAUUGCGGUCCACACCUGUAGUCCGAGCUACUGGGGAGUCUGAGACUGGAGGAUCACUUGAGCCUAGGAGGUCGAGGCUGCAGUAAGCUGUGAUCACACCACUGCACUCCAGCUUUGGUAACACUGGAUCUACCAUGAAAGACACCAGAGUUCAGGAGGAGACUGGGCAUCAUGUUACUCAGAUGGAGUUUUGCUCCUGCUGUGUGCUCCUGCUGGCCUCAGGAGGCCCAAGCAUUGGGUCCUGAAGUCGGCCUCUCCAGGCCCAGCUCCUGCUCUCCUGGCGUCUCCUCCACAUGGGUGCAAGAUAUCCUCAGAUGGGUGCCUCCAGGGCCAGCUGCUGCCUCCCAACGGCCCCCUGGGGCCCAGCUUCUGCCUCCCCUCAGCCUCUCUGGGAGGUCCAGCCUAUGCCUCCCUUCUGGUGGCCUCCCCAGGCCCGGAUCCUAUUCCUGGCCUCAUCUACUGGACCACGUCCUGCCUCCCGGCAGCUGCUUUUUGCUCAGCUUCUGACCAGCUUCCAGCGGCCUUUCUUCUGUAGGCCCGAAGCUUUCUCAAGUGGGGCUUUUCGGGCCUUCGUUCUGCCUCCUGGUGGCCUUGACUGGCCCUGUUACCACCUGACAUUGGCCCCACCGGGCCCAGCUCUGGACUCUCUGCAGCCGCCCCAUCACCAGCUGCUCCCUGCUGGUGGCUUCCCCAGGCCAAGAUUCUGUCUGCCUUCCUUCCUGCCUGCCUGCCUGCCUGCCUGCCUGCCUGCAUUCUGGCUGCGUCCACAGGCCCAGCGCCCCCCUCACACUGGCCUGUUGGGGCCCAGCUCAUGCCUUUGGCAAACCUCUCCAAACCCAGCUCUCGUCUCACUCUUGCCUUGAGUCUAGGCCCAGGCACUCCCUCGCAGAGGUCUUCCUCAGCCCAGCUCGCCUAUCAUGGACUCUCCCAGGCCAGCUCCUGCCUUCCAGCGGCCUGUCCAGGCCCAAAGCUUCCUCUCCGGGCCCGGCCUCCCCAGGCUUAGCUCCUGCUUGCGCCAGGCCCAUACUGGGCCCAGCCUCUGCCUUUCAGUGGACCCUCCAGGCCCAGCUCGUGGCAUCACCGUGGCCUCUGCUCAGGCCCAGCUCCUGCCUCUGUGGCAGCCUGUAUCCACAGGCCCCGCCUCCAGCCUCCCCGUGGCCCUAUCAGGCCAAGCCGGUGCCUCCCGGUGGCCCUCCCGCACCCAGCAUUGGCCUGCUUGCAUCCUCUUCAUGCGCAGAAUGUCUUCAGGUAGGCCUUUCGGGGCCCAGCUCCUCCUCUCGGCCGUGUCUACAGGCUCAACGUUUGAAUUUGCCUCGCAGCAACCUCUGGGGACUCAGUUUCUCCCCAGCUCCUGGCGGCCUUUGUAGGCCCGAAAGCUCAGGCCCUCGACUCAGGCUCUCCAGACCCACCCAGCUCAUGUCUCACGCUGGCCUCUCCAGGCUCGGCUUCUGCCCUCCUAGGGCAUCUCCAGGCCCCAGACGUUCCUGAGUCAGCUUCUGCUGGCCCCGGCUCCUGCUGCGUUAUCCUGCUGGCCUCGGGAGGCCCAAGCAUUGGGUCCUGAAGUUCAUCUCUGUCGGCCCAGCCUCUGCCCCUUACUGGUGGCCUCCGCACACCCGGAUCAUCCUGCUGGCUGUGUCUACCGGCUGACAUUUUGCCCCCUGGCAUCCUCUUUUGGCUCAGCUCCUGGCCAGCUCACGACGGCCUUUCGUCUGUCGGCCCAAAGCUUCCUCGGGGCUUUUGGGGUGUCCCCUCUGCCUCCCGGUGGCCUUGACAGGCCCAGCUACAUCCUGACAUUGGCCUCUCCAUGCCCAGUUCUGGCCUCCUUACAGCACCCCCAGCACCAUCCACUGUCUGUCGGCCACUUCCCCAGGCCAAGAUCCUGCCUACCUUUCAACUUUGUCCACAAAUUCAACGCCUCCCUCACACUGGCCAGUUGAGGCCCAGCUUGGCCUCUAGCAGAUGUCUCUGGACUUAGCUAUCGCCUUGUACUGGCCUUGAGUCUGGGCCCAGGCAACAGGCCCAAGCUUUGCCCCCGGCAGCCUUUUUUUUUUUUUUUUUUUUAUGCAGUUUUGCUUUUGUUACCCAGCCGCGAGUGCAAUGGUGUGAUCUCGGCU